This 497-nucleotide ribosomal RNA is filed under the name uncultured bacterium. RNAcentral describes it as "partial 16S ribosomal RNA". It matches the Rfam family "Bacterial small subunit ribosomal RNA", at positions 28 to 507 of the family's 1533-position model. The record is from RNAcentral.
GACGAACGCUGGCGGCGUGCUUAACACAUGCAAGUCGAACGGUGAGGCGCCGUCCUUGUUGGUGGGUGGGGAUGAGUGGCGGACGGGUGAAUAACACGUGAGUAACCUUCCCCCUUCUUCUGGACAACCGCAUGAAAGUGCGACUAAUACGGGAUAUUCUGAGCCUGUCGCAUGAUUGGUCUGGGACAGAUUUUGUUUCGGUUGUGGAUGGGUUCGCGGCCUAUCAGCUUGUUGGUGGGGUGAUGGCCUACCAAGGCGGCGAUGAGUAGCCGCCCUGAGAGGAGGGUCGGCGGCCAUGGUGCGGAGGCGCGGCGGAGCAGACUACUAGGGGCGGCAGUAGUGAAGAAUAUGGAACGGUGGGAGGCAGGAUGAAGCAGCGCCGCGGCGGGGAUGAUGGUGGUCUGAGGGUUGUGAACCUCUUUCGCGAGUGAAGCAGGGCUGCAGCGUCUAUGGGUGGGUUGACGGUAGCUGGACAAGAAGCGCCGGCUAACUACGUG